RNAcentral lists this ribosomal RNA (124 nucleotides) under uncultured bacterium. Its description in RNAcentral is "partial 16S ribosomal RNA". The record is from RNAcentral.
CCGGAGCUUCUUCUCCCGCUACCGUCAUCAUCUUCACGGGUGAAAGAGUUUUACAACCCUAAGGCCUUCUUCACUCACGCGGCAUUGCUGGAUCAGGGUUUCCCCCAUUGUCCAAUAUUCCCCA